AACUGAUACUACCUGCGGGAACCUGCGGAGGGAUCAUUACCGAGUUUUCAACUCCCUAACCCUUCUGUGAACCUACCUAUCGUUGCUUCGGCGGACUCGCCCCAGCCCGGACGCGGACUGGACCAGCGGCCCGCCGGGGACCUCAAACUCUUGUAUUCCAGCAUCUUCUGAAUACGCCGCAAGGCAAAACAAAUGAAUCAAAACUUUUAACAACGGAUCUCUAGAUCGGAAGAGCACACG
Molecule: unclassified non-coding RNA, 240 nt
Filed under: soil metagenome
Description: partial contains 5.8S ribosomal RNA, internal transcribed spacer 2, and large subunit ribosomal RNA
Source: RNAcentral